Molecule: ribosomal RNA, 466 nt
Filed under: uncultured bacterium
Lineage: Bacteria
Description: partial 16S ribosomal RNA
Rfam family: Bacterial small subunit ribosomal RNA
Source: RNAcentral
GACGAACGCUGGCGGCGUGCUUAACACAUGCAAGUCGAACGGUAAGGCUCCAGCUUGCUGGGGUACACGAGUGGCGAACGGGUGAGUAACACGUGGGUGACCUGCCCUGCACUUCGGGAUAAGCCUGGGAAACUGGGUCUAAUACCGGAUAGGACCAUGGUGUGGAUACUGUGGUGGAAAGUUUUUUCGGUGUGGGAUGUGCCCGCGGCCUAUCAGCUUGUUGGUGGGGUAAUGGCCUACCAAGGCGGCGACGGGUAGCCGGCCUGAGAGGGUGGACGGCCACAUUGGGACUGAGACACGGACCAGAGUCCUACGGGAGGCAGCAGUGGGGAAUAUUGCACAAUGGGCGGAAGCCUGAUGCAGAGACGCCGUGUGGGGGAUGACGGCCUUCGGGUUGUAAACUCCUUUCACCAUCGACGAAGGGUUUCUGACGGUAGAUGGAGAAGAAGCACCGGCUAACUACGUG